RNAcentral lists this ribosomal RNA (463 nucleotides) under uncultured bacterium. RNAcentral describes it as "bacterial SSU rRNA". It matches the Rfam family "Bacterial small subunit ribosomal RNA", at positions 917 to 1382 of the family's 1533-position model. The record is from RNAcentral.
GGGCCCGCACAAGCAGCGGAGCAUGUGGUUUAAUUCGAAGCAACGCGAAGAACCUUACCAGAGCUUGACAUCUCCUGCAUAAUCCGUAAUGGGAUGAAAUCCUUCGGGACAGGAAGACAGGUGGUGCAUGGUUGUCGUCAGCUCGUGUCGUGAGAUGUUGGGUUAAGUCCCGCAACGAGCGCAACCCCUAUACUUAGUUGCCAUCAUUAAGUUGGGCACUCUAAGUAGACUGCCGGAGACAAUUCGGAGGAAGGUGGGGAUGACGUCAAAUCAUCAUGCCCCUUAUGUUCUGGGCUACACACGUGCUACAAUGGGUAUAACAACGGGAAGCAAGCCAGCGAUGGUGAGCAAAUCCCUAAAAAAUACUCCCAGUUCAGAUUGUUCUCUGCAACUCGAGAACAUGAAGUCGGAGUUGCUAGUAAUCGCGAAUCAGCAUGUCGCGGUGAAUACGUUCCCGGGCCUU